This 244-nucleotide unclassified non-coding RNA is filed under the name plant metagenome. RNAcentral's name for it is "partial contains small subunit ribosomal RNA, internal transcribed spacer 1, and 5.8S ribosomal RNA". The record is from RNAcentral.
UCUCCGUUGGUGAACCAGCGGAGGGAUCAUUACCGAGUUUACAACUCCCAAACCCAAUGUGAACCAUACCAAAUUGUUGCCUCGGCGGGGUCACGCCCCGGGUGCGUCGCAGCCCCGGAACCAGGCGCCCGCCGGAGGGACCAACCAAACUCUUUCUGUAGUCCCCUCGCGGACGUUAUUUUUACAGCUCUGAGCAAAAAUUCAAAAUGAAUCAAAACUUUCAACAACGGAUCUCUUGGUUCUG